ACGGGAGGCAGCAGUGAGGAAUAUUGGUCAAUGGGCGGAGGCCUGAACCAGCCAAGUCGCGUGAAGGACGAAGGUAUUAUGUAUUGUAAACUUCUUUAGACGCAGAGAAAUAAGGGGAUCGUGAUCCCUGAUGCUAGUAUGCGUAGAAUAAGGAUCGGCUAACUCCGUGCCAGCAGCCGCGGUAAUACGGAGGAUCCGAGCGUUAUCCGGAUUUAUUGGGUUUAAAGGGAGCGUAGGUGGAAGUGUAAGUCAGCCGUCAAAUUGCGCAGCUCAACUGCGUCCAGCGGUUGAAACUGCACUUCUUGAGUGCACAAGAGGAAGGUGGAAUUCGUGGUGUAGCGGUGAAAUGCUUAGAUAUCACGAAGAACUCCGGUUGCGAAGGCAGCCUUCUGGGGUGCAACUGACACUGAGGCUCGAAGGUGCGGGUAUCAAACAGGAUUAGAUACCCUGGUA
This 453-nucleotide ribosomal RNA is filed under the name uncultured Bacteroides sp. Its description in RNAcentral is "partial 16S ribosomal RNA". It matches the Rfam family "Bacterial small subunit ribosomal RNA", at positions 341 to 792 of the family's 1533-position model. The record is from RNAcentral. Lineage: Bacteria; Pseudomonadati; Bacteroidota; Bacteroidia; Bacteroidales; Bacteroidaceae.